GACGAACGCUGGCGGCGUGCUUAACACAUGCAAGUCGAACGGAAAGGCCCUGCUUUUGUGGGGUGCUCGAGUGGCGAACGGGUGAGUAACACGUGAGUAACCUGCCCUUGACUUUGGGAUAACUUCAGGAAACUGGGGCUAAUACCGGAUAGGAGCUCCUGCUGCAUGGUGGGGGUUGGAAAGUUUCGGCGGUUGGGGAUGGACUCGCGGCUUAUCAGCUUGUUGGUGGGGUAGUGGCUUACCAAGGCUUUGACGGGUAGCCGGCCUGCGAGGGUGACCGGCCACAUUGGGACUAAGAUACGGCCCAGACUCCUACGGGGGGCAACAGUGGGGAAUAUUGCACAAUGGGCGGAAGACUGAUGAAGCAACGCCGCGUGCGGGAUGACGGCCUUCGGGUUGUAAACCGCUUUCGCCUGUGACGAAGCGUGAGUGACGGUAAUGGGUAAAGAAGCACCGGCUAACUACGUG
RNAcentral lists this ribosomal RNA (468 nucleotides) under uncultured bacterium. RNAcentral's name for it is "partial 16S ribosomal RNA". It matches the Rfam family "Bacterial small subunit ribosomal RNA", at positions 28 to 507 of the family's 1533-position model. The record is from RNAcentral.